CCUCAUCCUCUAAGACGCAAUCCGAUUCGCCGGGAAAAAUACUAUUCAAUGUUUUUCCCGCGUCAGGCAUAGAAAAUAGUUUGCUUAAAUUAUGAAUCUUGAUAACAACACUGUUUUGAGCCAGUAGAAAGCAAUAGAGUUUUAAUGCUUCCUAAAGCAAUUCCCAUAUAGGGUAGCGUAGAACUGUAACAUUUCUGCCUGCGAAUAGUGCUUCGCACCCAUGCGAUGCGCGCAUAUUUCUUUAUUGGAGAAAUUUUGCCAGAAGAAAAGGCCUAAAGGAUUCAUUUCACCAGACGAUGAAUAACAGGAAAUUGGAUCACCACGCCAAAUUUACUUACCAGCCUAGGCAUGGCCUUAACUAAGAAGUUGUUCAUUGGAAAUGGGAGAAAGCACUCUAAGGGUAUCUGCCUAAAGGGAAGGUUUCUUCUGUGAACCUUCUAACAGAAGCCAAUUUAUAUGUACGUUACAAACAGAAAAACCAAGGUUAUUACAGUACAAGGUUUACUCUCAUAUGACGUCACUUAAUCUUAGACUAUCAAAACUAGUUUUCUCGAUAUUUUCUUUGUGGCUUCGUUUCUCGCACUUCCGUAAUUGACGUUAGUGUUGAGGAGAGCCUAACCUUGUUGACUACUGAUAUCGGUUCAAACCACAAAAACAUUCAGGUAACCAAGCCCGCAUUUCGAACCCAAACUCCAGUCUAAGUAAUGAUGCUCAGCAGUUUUAACCAUUCUGCAACUAGAAGGCGCUAAACUAAGAAGAAUGAAAUAAAAACGAGAUCUGAAAAAGAAAGAACCAUGGUUUAUAUUCAGUUGAAUAGACCUCGAUGGCCAAAUAUUAAGUAUCAUUCGUUUGGCUGUUAAGGAGUCAUUCGAUCUUCAGUAUUUCACUUUUUUCCCUAAUACCUUCGCAACAGCAACGUCAAAGUAAAGAAAUGAAAGUCACACCAAGGAGGCUUCGGUUUAUAUGGCAAUGAUGAAUGGGAAAAAAAAACAUGUGCGAGAACGAGAAAAGGGAGUAAGAUAUGAAAAGGAAGGUUUUAAUAAAACAAGGCUGUAAGCCAUGAUUUGUAAUUGCACAGAUACAUUCGUUCUAUAGAUGAAAUGAAAGCAAGAGAUGAUAUUUAGUACUGGUUAUGAUACUUCUUAACAGCAAUAGCGGAUUUGCAGGGUUUACUCCCACCUAACAAAAGAUGGCUGAUAAUGUAAUAUAUUGCUAGUUCUCUCUACGAGCUCUUUUCAGUUGAUGGACAUAGUGUGUGGUAUACGAGACGUAUUCCUACAGCAUUCCACCCAUCUUCUGCAGAACUGAGAUGUAAGGACCUUGCAGGCUAGUCCAGCUGAGAGAUAUCACCACUCUUUAAUAAUUACUCUACAGCACAUGCAUGAUGUGCUGAGGCAUUAUUGUUUUCAGAAAAAGAAAUAAAAACCAUUGUGAUUCAGAAAAGACACACAUGGGGAAUGAUUAAGUCAGGGCAAGAGCAGCUUGCCGUUAUGGAUGUCAUAUUGCCAUCAUUAACUUAUCUCUACAGAAAAGGUUACGACUAGAAUCGUUCGGAAGCUUAAGCAGACUCUCAUCCACGAGGGGUAUCGCACUUCACUGUUGCGCUAUUCAAUCUUGGUGUUGCCUAACACCUUUAAAAACGGUGUUUAACGGGGUACUAGAUGUAACCACGGAAAUGCCCAUACAGUAAACCUAUUUGCAAGGAUGUUAUCGUCGGGUCAAUGUAUCAGUACUUAUCCUUUCAGCCACCGAUGUAGUUCUUUAUAAAUUGUAAUAAAACACUACGGGUCUACU
Molecule: long non-coding RNA, 1794 nt
Organism: Stegodyphus dumicola
Lineage: Eukaryota; Metazoa; Arthropoda; Arachnida; Araneae; Eresidae
Source: RefSeq, a predicted model, not a curated record